RNAcentral lists this ribosomal RNA (270 nucleotides) under uncultured archaeon. Its description in RNAcentral is "partial 16S ribosomal RNA". It matches the Rfam family "Archaeal small subunit ribosomal RNA", at positions 477 to 747 of the family's 1478-position model. The record is from RNAcentral.
CAGCACCUCAAGUGGUCAGGAUGAUUAUUGGGCCUAAAGCAUCCGUAGCCGGCGCUGUAAGCUUUCGGUUAAAUCUGUACGCUCAACGUACAGGCUGCCGGGAAUACUGCAGCUCUAGGGAGUGGGAGAGGUAGACGGUACUCGGUAGGAAGGGGUAAAAUCCUUUGAUCUAUUGAUGACCACCUGUGGCGAAGGCGGUCUACCAGAACACGUCCGACGGUGAGGGAUGAAAGCUGGGGGAGCAAACCGGAUUAGAUACCCGAGUAGUCC